This 253-nucleotide ribosomal RNA is filed under the name uncultured bacterium. Its description in RNAcentral is "partial 16S ribosomal RNA". It matches the Rfam family "Bacterial small subunit ribosomal RNA", at positions 524 to 776 of the family's 1533-position model. The record is from RNAcentral.
UACGAAGGGGGCUAGCGUUGCUCGGAAUCACUGGGCGUAAAGCGCACGUAGGCGGCUUGGCAAGUCGGAUGUGAAAGCCCUCGGCUCAACCAAGGAAGUGCAUCCGAAACUGCUGAGCUUGAGUACUUAAGAGGAUCGCGGAAUUCCCGGUGUAGAGGUGAAAUUCGUAGAUAUCGGGAGGAACACCAGUGGCGAAGGCGGCGAUCUGGGAAGAUACUGACGCUGAGGUGCGAAAGCGUGGGGAGCAAACAGG